Molecule: long non-coding RNA, 1095 nt
Filed under: Heterocephalus glaber (naked mole-rat)
Lineage: Eukaryota; Metazoa; Chordata; Mammalia; Rodentia; Bathyergidae
Description: lncRNA (ENSHGLG00100046023.1)
Source: RNAcentral
CUCACUGCCCCUGCUCCAUGCCUGUGUGGUGUCUCCUUGGGGGCUCUGUCAUGGACUCCUGCCCCUCCUCUGGGUGGCCAGCAGAUGACAUCCACUUUGUCACCUCUGCUGUCUUCCCCCACUCCUCACUCUGGCCUGUGGCAUCUGGCCCUGUGGCAGCUGUGGCAAUCAGUUAACGGUCCCCACUUUGUGGCCUCCUUUUCCCCUGUGUAUUGGUGUAGGCCCUCUGUGGCAUCUGGCUCACCACAGAUCUUGCCUGGGCCAACAGGCCUGAAGCUGAGGGCUGUCUGAGGGUAAACCAAGGCAUGACUGAAACCAUCAGAACAGGCAAAAAUGAAGCAACAAGACCUAUCGGAAGUCACUCAAGACAGCCCUGUGCCAACAGUUCUUGUCCAGACUGACACAUCUUCCUACCAGACCGACACAUCUUCCUACCAGACCCAUCAACAUAAGGCUGUCAAUUGGCCCAAUUAAGUGAAAUGCUGAGUGAAUCUAGAGAAGGUUUAAAUCCCCUCUCCAAAACAAGACAAAGCAAACCCCAUCCAUGGCACUGUCUUCCUGGGUUUUCCACCCCUCAAGAAAAGCGGAAAUAGGGGCCAGGGAUUUAGCUCAGUGGUGCCAUACCUGCCUCACAAGCACAAGGUCCUGAGUUUGAGCCCUGGUACCAGAAGGAAAAAAAAAAAAGAGCUGGGCCGGGAUUUAGCUCAGUGGUUGUGCCACCUGCCUUGCAAGCAUAAGGACCCAAGUUGGGGGGUGGGGGGAGCGUAAAUGUACCCAGGUCCAAACCAUCCUGUGUCUCAUUCCUCAGAGCACAUGGAGUGUGACCUGUACUGUCUGUGCCUAAUAAACCUACAUGUGCCUCUUUGGAAUGUGUCCUGAAAACUCUUUCUUUGAUGGGAGUCAGUGAGCCUGGUGCAGUGGGGUGGGUUAAGUUUGGGAACCUGUGACCCAGCCCCGUGACAGUGCUAAUGUUUUCAUGGAAUUUAUUACAUGGCAUUGUUGGAGCAAUAAAUAACUGAUACAGAGUUCAAUAAAUAUUUGCUAAGUGAAUAUUGAUGGAAUUUUAGACACAAGAGCAAGAUAGGAAAUAUGGAG